Molecule: ribosomal RNA, 253 nt
Filed under: uncultured bacterium
Lineage: Bacteria
Description: partial 16S ribosomal RNA
Rfam family: Bacterial small subunit ribosomal RNA
Source: RNAcentral
UACAGAGGUCUCAAGCGUUGUUCGGAUUCAUUGGGCGUAAAGGGUGCGUAGGUGGCGCGCUAAGUCAGGUGUGAAAUUUCGGAGCUUAACUCCGAAACUGCAUUUGAUACUGGCGUGCUUGAGGACUGGAGAGGAGUCUGGAAUUCAUGGUGUAGCAGUGAAAUGCGUAGAGAUCAUGAGGAAGACCAGUGGCGAAGGCGGGUCUCUGGACAGUUCCUGACACUGAGGCACGAAGGCCAGGGGAGCAAACGGG